Long non-coding RNA from Amphiprion ocellaris (clown anemonefish), 1060 nucleotides. The record is from Ensembl. Lineage: Eukaryota; Metazoa; Chordata; Actinopteri; Pomacentridae.
CACAUCAUCCCAACAAAAGGAUGCCUUCAGUGACCCGCUGGAGCCCUCUAGAGUUUAGAUCCAGUCUGACUCCAGAUGGAGGCCAGGAAAUGAAAGAGGAAGUCUGGUUGCAUGGAUGUUGGUCUCCAUGGAUACACCACAACAAAUCAGCACCGAGGCAGAGAUUUAGCAGAAGCGACGGAGGCGUAUUUUUAAACUGUUUAGAGUUCAGUUUCCGAGUUCUCUGAGGUUGUUAAUCCUGACUGAGCGGAGGCCAUGUACAGAGUUUCCUCGUCGGUUAAAGUGAAGCAGAUGGAGGCAGAGCUGUCGCAUCAACUCGCAGCUCUCAGGGCGGAAAUCGAGGAGAAUGGGUUUCCACGAGGAGCAGGGACGGCCAACUCUUACAGCUCUGUUCCACCUCCCAAAGAUGUUUCCUUCUUUCGUCUGGAGAGGGAACAUGCACUGAGGAGGGAGCUGCAGGUGGCUGAAGCUUCGCGGGUUCAGUCUGCGGCUGACGUCAUGCAGGAAGAGCUGCAGAGCUGCUGGAGUUUAGAAUACAGUCCUGAAAAUCUGCUGCUUCUGCUGCACCAGUUCUUCAUGGACAGAUCGUAUCACCUGGCUCAGAUCAAAUAUCAACUCAUGCUGAGAUGGAGGAGAUUCUGUCGCCACACCGGCGUCAUCGAGAAGCUUUAUCCUCAUUACAAGGUGAAACCCAGACGAGAUCCAUGGCAGCAGAAGCUCCUCACACAGCUGAAGGAAAAGAAAUCAGCCGAUGAGCUGCUGAAGAUGCACAGCAGGUUUCUACAGGUCUCUGAUCUGCUUCAUGUAGCUGCAGCUUUAAAACAACAAGCAGCUCAUGUUGGAGACUCACAAUCAUCAUCACACAACAGCAGGACAAAACAUGAAAAGAUCUCUGAGAUCUGGACGAGCGUUUACAGUGCUGCCAGUCUUUCUCCCGCAGCGUAACAGACAAAAGCCGCGAUUCCACAAGCAUCUACUCGGCGCGGUACGGUUCGCCACUAUUGUAUCUGACUCGGCUCGUCUCGGUUUAGUUGUUUUUCCAUAUAGCCUCAUCGUGGGU